AUCCUAAGAUGGGUAUUUGUGACAGCAGCUGAGGCACAGGCAUUGAAAACAAAUUUUGCCUACCUGUAAAGACUCUAGACUUUGGGACAAUGGUCCUGGGGUUCUUCCAGCACCCUAGUUGUUUAAAAGUGAGCUAAUGGAGAUGGCAAUAUGACAAUGCUUUCUAGGAUCCCUCCAGGGAAAAUUCAUCUCUCCCUCCC
Molecule: long non-coding RNA, 200 nt
Filed under: Homo sapiens (human)
Lineage: Eukaryota; Metazoa; Chordata; Mammalia; Primates; Hominidae
Description: HSALNT0166627
Source: RNAcentral